This 67-nucleotide transfer RNA is filed under the name Oxytate striatipes. RNAcentral describes it as "tRNA-Gln". Lineage: Eukaryota; Metazoa; Arthropoda; Arachnida; Araneae; Thomisidae. The record is from RNAcentral.
GAUUUUUAAAAGACUUAUUUAACCUAUUUGUGAUUUUAAAAAACACAAAUAAAAAAGACUAAAAUCU